This is a long non-coding RNA of Poecilia latipinna (sailfin molly), 957 nucleotides long. RefSeq lists it as uncharacterized. Lineage: Eukaryota; Metazoa; Chordata; Actinopteri; Cyprinodontiformes; Poeciliidae. The transcript is spliced from 2 exons. The record is from RefSeq and is a predicted model, not a curated record.
CGCAUACAUGCAUGUGUUCACCUUCAGAGCACACAAACGCCGACUGUGAAACAUGCAGAAAUGAGAACAAGAUAUGAGGAACAUGAGAAACUGAAAUGAGUUCACCGUGUUGUUGUGCGAAGGGUCCGUAGGGAUUGGUUUUAAUUUAAUGUAUCGGUGAAACCUGAGACUUUUUACGUUUAGAUAAUUGGACUGUUGAGUGACUCCCUCCCAAGUUUCGUUCAGUCGAGCUGGACCUUUCUUUGCUAGAGAGGUUUUACACCAGGAAAACAACUUUAUUUGUCCAGCACAUCCUGUCUUUCUGCAAACUUUCCCCCCCGAAGCGAACAAGCACGUGCGUGUGUGUCCGUGGGAGUCAACGCGUUUAAUUGCAGAGCCACAUUUGCUGAUUAAUUUUCGUUGCUAAUAUUUUCCCCCCACCUCCUCCGCAGGAGACCUCUGCCGAUCCUUCCACGGUCUCACAGAAAUGUGCAAUAAAGUCUAAUGUGAUUUGCCGUUUGUGACGUCCCAUUAAUAUUAAUCACCUUCAUCUCGACUCGUUAGGGAUUCAGAGACUGGAGGGUCCCGCGUUGGUGGGCCAGGAGGGAUCACUUCAGGAGAAAGUUUCUGAGAUCCGCAUCAGCAUAACAAGGACCCAAGAUCUAAAGCCUGUGGAUAAACUAUGGGAUGAAGAGAAGAGAGCAGAAGAGAUGUCUGGAGACUCAUCGGAUCAAGAGACUGAAUGAUCAGAUCACUUCAUCUGGGAUCCUGCACAAAGGAUUAAAAGCUGUGAUUUUGUGUUCGAAACAAUACGACAUGUCUUUACAGUAUUUGAGUUUAACUGGGACUUUUUCCUCAAUCUAAAGUAAUUACUUCCAAUUUUUGACAUCAAGGUAAAUGUGAGAGACGGGAGAACAAGAGCCUGUAACGUGUUAGUAACACUGAGAAACACAGCCAUUAAAAAGGCUGGGACUGUAA